CUCGUAGGCGGUUCGUCGCGUCCGGUGUGAAAGUCCAUCGCUUAACGGUGGAUCCGCGCCGGGUACGGGCGGGCUUGAGUGCGGUAGGGGAGACUGGAAUUCCCGGUAUAACGGUGGAAUGUGUAGAUAUCGGGAAGAACACCAAUGGCGAAGGCAGGUCUCUGGGCCGUUACUGACGCUGAGGAGCGAAAGCGUGGGGAGCGAACA
This 207-nucleotide ribosomal RNA is filed under the name uncultured bacterium. RNAcentral describes it as "partial 16S ribosomal RNA". It matches the Rfam family "Bacterial small subunit ribosomal RNA", at positions 568 to 774 of the family's 1533-position model. The record is from RNAcentral.